Anaerosporobacter mobilis DSM 15930 is the source of this 99-nucleotide regulatory RNA element. It matches the Rfam family "THF (Tetrahydrofolate) riboswitch aptamer". Rfam says of the family: THF riboswitch presents a pseudoknot that joins P1-P2 and the loop of P3 and two THF binding. The record is from Rfam. Lineage: Bacteria; Bacillati; Bacillota; Clostridia; Lachnospirales; Lachnospiraceae.
AGCAAAGUAGAAUAAUAUGCGUUAAGUGUCUAGUGAACGGGGAGUUGUCACUAGAACGAAAAGCUUAGGCUUGCGGUAUAUUGUUCGCAUCCCGUUGCU